This 397-nucleotide unclassified non-coding RNA is filed under the name soil metagenome. RNAcentral's name for it is "partial contains 5.8S ribosomal RNA, internal transcribed spacer 2, and large subunit ribosomal RNA". The stretch from base 6 to 123 matches the Rfam family "5.8S ribosomal RNA", at positions 39 to 154 of the family's 154-position model. The record is from RNAcentral.
GAUGAAAGAACGUAGCGAAAUGCGAUACUUGGUGUGAAUUGCAGAAUCCCGCGAAUCAUCGAGUUUUUGAACGCAAGUUGCGCCCGAAGCCAUUCGGCCGAGGGCACGUCUGCCUGGGUGUCACGCAUCGCUGCCCCCCCAAACUCCGGUUCGGACGGGGCGGAAGUUGGCCUCCCGUGCGUGCGUGCCCGCACGCGCGGUUAGCCCAAAAGCGAGUCCUCGGCGACGAGCGCCACGACAAUCGGUGGUUUUUUUGCCCUCGUUCCUCGUCGUGUGCGCCCCAUCGCCCGAACGCGCUCUUACGACCCUCACGCGUGUCGCCUCGGCGGCGCUCACAACGCGACCCCAGGUCAGGCGGGACUACCCGCUGAGUUUAAGCAUAUCAAUAAGCGGAGGA